This 483-nucleotide ribosomal RNA is filed under the name uncultured bacterium. RNAcentral's name for it is "bacterial SSU rRNA". It matches the Rfam family "Bacterial small subunit ribosomal RNA", at positions 328 to 802 of the family's 1533-position model. The record is from RNAcentral.
AUGAAACACUCCUACGGGAGGCAGCAGUGGGGAAUAUUGGACAAUGGGCGAAAGCCUGAUCCAGCCAUGCCGCGUGUGUGAAGAAGGUCUUCGGAUUGUAAAGCACUUUAAGUUGGGAGGAAGGGCAUUAACCUAAUACGUUAGUGUUUUGACGUUACCGACAGAAUAAGCACCGGCUAACUCUGUGCCAGCAGCCGCGGUAAUACAGAGGGUGCAAGCGUUAAUCGGAAUUACUGGGCGUAAAGCGCGCGUAGGUGGUUUGUUAAGUUGGAUGUGAAAUCCCCGGGCUCAACCUGGGAACUGCAUUCAAAACUGACUGACUAGAGUAUGGUAGAGGGUGGUGGGAUUUCCUGUGUAGCGGUGAAAUGCGUAGAUAUAGGAAGGAACACCAGUGGCGAAGGCGACCACCUGGACUAAUACUGACACUGAGGUGCGAAAGCGUGGGGAGCAAACAGGAUUAGAAACCCUUGUAGUCCGAAGUUC